RNAcentral lists this long non-coding RNA (1662 nucleotides) under Olea europaea subsp. europaea. The record is from RNAcentral. Lineage: Eukaryota; Viridiplantae; Streptophyta; Magnoliopsida; Lamiales; Oleaceae.
GUUUUAUUUAUUUAUUUAUUUAUUUUUUAAAUUAAUUUAUGUAACAAUAAUGCUAUGGGUACAUAAUACAAUCCACAGAGGUGUCCAAAAUUGCUGAGGUGGCCUUUUUUUCAUCCAAUUUCUCGCCUUUCUCGCCACAAGUGGAAACACGGCCAAAAAUGAAUUAUUGAAUAAAAAAUGUCUACAAACCCAACAGACAUUUCAUUCUCAUUUCAUUCACUCGUUCCCCUCCUACAGACAUUUUCAUUUCAUUCACGCUUCUUCGUCGAAGGUGACCCCGUGCCCGGCGGCGGCAACGGCACCUUCAACGCAGCCGGCGACGACGACACCUUCAACGCAGUUCCCGGCCUCUUCAUUUUCACUCGUUCCCGGCCCCACUCCCGACUCCAGAAUCUAAACUUGCUCCCGACGACGGUAUUAGUAAUCAACCCCCAGAAUGAGUGGGUUUCUCUUUUUGUUUGGUAGAUAACCUUUUAUUUUCCGUUUUCGAGUUUAGGGUUUCCCGAUUUGGUCACAAAUCAACUCCUAUAUCUUCAACGACGGUAUGAUUCAGCUUACUCUUCUUCUAAAAUGGAUUUCCGUUUUCACGAGAUCUGACAGCAAUUUUGUUUAUUUUUUCUUCUUAUUUUAGUUUUGGUUUUUUUUUUUGUUUUAGUUGCACGAUGUUUUUAUGGGUUUUAGCUGCACGAUUUUCUUUUCUCCUACCAUUUAGACGAUUUUGUUAGAAUGUGGCGAUUUACUGUACAGAAAUUGUUCUUUGUGGUUCACUUUUCAGCUACAUCUUAUCACGACCAUGUCGUCCCCAUUUAGCUAUACAGUCGUCUUCUGAUGAUGCUACUUCAUGUGAACUUAGAUUAUGCUAUUUCCUGUGAAUGUACUGUAUCAUAUAAUAGUAUUACAUAAUGUACUUUGGGAAUCAAUGCAUUGGGAAUGUACUGUAUCAUAUAAUCUUAUUAAUUAAGAAAGCUGAGCCUUGGAUGUUUUUCGAUUUCGAUACAAAUCUUCCACAGCUGUAAUAUUGAAUGGCUAGAAAGAAUAAGGGUAUCUGCCAUAGUUGUCGAGAUCCUGGGCAUCAACUGUAUGACUGUCCAAAAAAAAAAAAAAAAAAAAAAAAAACAAUGUCCUAACUGUUUACAAGAAAUUGUAAAAAUGAUGGAGGUUGAAAAGAAGACGAACAACUUAGGCCGAAUAUUCUUGUGUUGUACAAAAGAUUGUGGAUAUUUCGACUGGAAUGAUGGGAAGUACUCGAAGAAGAAACCCUUGCCGUUUGAAGGACAGUCUAAUAAUAAUUGUGAUGGAAUGCAAUCAAGCCCCGUUGGGACGUCUCCAAGCAAAGCUAAAGCACCAAUGGAUGACUUGUUGAAAAGUGUUGCCGAAUUAAAGAUAGAAGAGGAUGUUGAGAUAUCAUUCAACAUAACUAUCCGGAAGGGAAAGGGGAAGUUGGAAGAUAUCGCCAAGGAAAAGCGUAGGGAGGAGAACUGAUUUUUAUGUUUAUGUUUAUGUGUCUUAUGUAGUUGUAGCUACCUGUCGAACUUUUGUAAUCGGAUAUUUCGACGACACUUAUGUUUAUGUUAAUGUUGAGCCAUAUUUUAAUUUCAUGGUUCUUUUUUAUGUUAAUGUUGAGCCAUAUUUUAAUUUCAUGGUUCUNACUCUUGCUUGAAU